Molecule: ribosomal RNA, 477 nt
Filed under: uncultured bacterium
Lineage: Bacteria
Description: partial 16S ribosomal RNA
Rfam family: Bacterial small subunit ribosomal RNA
Source: RNAcentral
GAUUAACGCUGGCGGCGUGCAUAACACAUGCAAGUCGAACGAUGAAACUUAGUAGACUUCUUCGGCACGACACUAAGCGGAUUAGUGGCGAACGGGUUAGUAACGCGUUAGUAACCUGCCUUACACAAGGGGAUAGCCUUUGGAAACGAAGAAUAAUACCCUAUCAAACCAUAAAAGCGCAUGCUAGAGUGGUCAAAGUGAUAGCGGUGUAAGAUGGACUUGCGUCUGAUUAGCUAGUUGGCGAGAUAAACGAUCACCAAGGCAACGAUCAGUAGCCGGAGUGGGAGAGGGGACAGCCACAUUGGGAGUGGGACCAGGCCCAUACUGCCACGAGAGGGAGGAGUGGGGAAUGAUGGACAAUGGGGGAAACGCAGAUGCAGCGAGGGCGGGAGAUUUAGAAGGCCGUCGGGUUGUAAAAAUCUUUUGUAUAGGAAGAAAAUGACGGUACUAUAUGAAUAAGCUCCGGCUAAUUACGUG